RNAcentral lists this ribosomal RNA (464 nucleotides) under uncultured bacterium. RNAcentral's name for it is "bacterial SSU rRNA". It matches the Rfam family "Bacterial small subunit ribosomal RNA", at positions 8 to 507 of the family's 1533-position model. The record is from RNAcentral.
AGAGUUUGAUCAUGGCUCAGAACGAACGCUGGCGGUAUGCUUAACACAUGCAAGUCGAACGAGCAUAGUUUUUCGAAAACUAUGUUAGUGGCAGACGGGUGAGUAACGCGUGGGAACGUACCUUUUGGUUCUGAACAACGUCUGGAAACGGACGCUAAUACAGGAUAAGCCCUGAGGGGGAAAGAUUUAUUGCCAAAAGAGCGGCCCGCGUCAGAUUAGGUAGUUGGUAGAGUAAUGGUUUACCAAGCCGAUGAUCUGUAGCUGGUUUGAGAGGAUGAUCAGCCACACUGGGACUGAGACACGGCCCAGACUCCUACGGGAGGCAGCAGUGGGGAAUAUUGGACAAUGGGGGCAACCCUGAUCCAGCAAUACCGCGUGAGUGAAGAAGGCCUUCGGGUUGUAAAGCUCUUUUAUCAGGGACGAUAAUGACGGUACCUGAGGAAUAAGCUCCGGCUAACUUCGUG